This 380-nucleotide ribosomal RNA is filed under the name uncultured eukaryote. Its description in RNAcentral is "partial 18S ribosomal RNA". It matches the Rfam family "Eukaryotic small subunit ribosomal RNA", at positions 592 to 976 of the family's 1831-position model. The record is from RNAcentral.
CAAUAGCGUAUAUUAAAGUUGUUGCAGUUAAAAAGCUUGUAGUUGGAUUUGUGGCGUACGGUGUGUUCCGGGCACUUGUUGUCUGAGUAACCUGCUGUUGCCAUCCUUGGGUGGAACCUGUGUGGCAUUAGGUUGUCGUGCAGGGGAUGCCCAUCAUUUACUGUGAAAAAAUUAGAGUGUUCAAAGCAGGCUUAUGCCGUUGAAUAUAUUAGCAUGGAAUAAUGAGAUAGGACUUUUUUGCUAUUUUGUUGGUUUGCGCAAAGAGGUAAUGAUUAAUAGGGACAGUUGGGGGUAUUCGUAUUCCAUUGUCAGAGGUGAAAUUCUUGGAUUUUUGGAAGACGAACUACUGCGAAAGCAUUUACCAAGGAUGUUUUCAUUAA